Long non-coding RNA from Daphnia pulex (common water flea), 146 nucleotides. RefSeq lists it as uncharacterized. The record is from RefSeq and is a predicted model, not a curated record. NCBI's taxonomy places the organism in Eukaryota, Metazoa, Arthropoda, Branchiopoda, Diplostraca, Daphniidae. The transcript is spliced from 3 exons.
GUAAUGUAACGAAGCAUAUGAGCAAAGCAAACCGGAUGGAUUUACUUUCUGCUGCAAUUCUGUACUGGAACUGGGGUAAAAUUGAAAGAAUGCCUUCGAUUCUCAGUAAACGAUUAAAAAGGGCUUCGAAGUGUGUAGCGGUAUAU